CCUACGGGAUGCAGCAGUAGGGAAUUUUCGGCAAUGGGGGGAACCCUGACCGAGCAACGCCGCGUGAACGAAGAAGUUAUUCGUAAUGUAACGUUCUUUUAACAGGGAAGAAAGUGACGGUACCUGUUGAAUAAGCCACGGCUAACUACGUGCCAGCAGCCGCGGUAAUCCGUAGGUGGCAAGCGUUAUCCGGAUUUACUGGGUGUAAAGGGCGCGUAGGCGGGAGAGCAAGUCAGACGUGAAAUUACAGGGCUCAACCCUGGAAAUGCGUUUGACACCGUUCGUCUUGAGUGAUGGAGAGGCAGGCGGAAUUCCGUGUGUAGCGGUGAAAUGCGUAGAUAUACGGAGGAACACCAGUGGCGAAGGCGGCCUGCUGGACAUUAACUGACGCUGAGGCGCGAAAGCGUGGGGAGCAAACAGGAUUAGAUACCCGGGUAGUC
Molecule: ribosomal RNA, 440 nt
Filed under: uncultured bacterium
Lineage: Bacteria
Description: partial 16S ribosomal RNA
Rfam family: Bacterial small subunit ribosomal RNA
Source: RNAcentral